CUUCAAUAUUCUUCUAUCUUCCCAUACCGUGUUGUGCAGAGUUGAUCGAGGAUUCUAGUGGCGUUGGAGAUUGAAAAACCUCUAAUAUAGAGUCGUUUCGGUAGUUUUCUAAAACACGGUGCUGCUAUUCUCGCAUCUCGGGUUUUUUGUUUCUUAAUAACCUCAUUUUUUUUCAUGUUUUUUUAUGUUUGAUUUCAUGUGUGUUUUGUUCUUAGGAUUCGUAUCUAUUCUAGUAUUCUACUAUUGCUAUUUUCCUCCACUCAACAAUGUCAAACCGUUCAUAUUCCUCACCACUGUUCAAUGCCAUUUCACCGCUGUUCAACAUUUUGACUCCCUCACGUUCUUCCUCUGUUCAACUGACUUUAAUUGAAGUGCUCUUCUCAGGUUUUGUUUUAUCUAAUUGUGAACAUAAAUCCCUAGUUUAUGUGUUCUCAUUUAUUUUCCCCUCCUUUUAUAUACAUAAAAAUAGAC
Molecule: long non-coding RNA, 471 nt
Filed under: Lupinus angustifolius (narrow-leaved blue lupine)
Lineage: Eukaryota; Viridiplantae; Streptophyta; Magnoliopsida; Fabales; Fabaceae
Description: long non-coding RNA (LANG_LNC002989)
Source: RNAcentral